UGGGGAAUUUUGGACAAUGGGCGAAAGCCUGAUCCAGCAAUGCCGCGUGUGUGAAGAAGGCCUUCGGGUUGUAAAGCACUUUUGUCCGGAAAGAAAUCCUUGGCUCUAAUACAGUCGGGGGAUGACGGUACCGGAAGAAUAAGCACCGGCUAACUACGUGCCAGCAGCCGCGGUAAUACGUAGGGUGCAAGCGUUAAUCGGAAUUACUGGGCGUAAAGCGUGCGCAGGCGGUUUGCUAAGACCGAUGUGAAAUCCCCGGGCUCAACCUGGGAACUGCAUUGGUGACUGGCAGGCUAGAGUAUGGCAGAGGGGGGUAGAAUUCCACGUGUAGCAGUGAAAUGCGUAGAGAUGUGGAGGAAUACCGAUGGCGAAGGCAGCCCCCUGGGCCAAUACUGACGCUCAUGCACGAAAGCGUGGGGAGCAAACAGGAUUAGAUACCCUGGUAGUCCACGCCCUAAAACGAUGUCAACUAGUUGUUGGGGAUUCAUUUCCUUAGUAACGUAGCUAACGCGUGAAGUUGACCGCCUGGGGAAUACGGUCGCAAGAUUAAAACUCAAAUGAAUUGACGGGGUCAUAGCUGUUUCCU
This 586-nucleotide ribosomal RNA is filed under the name uncultured bacterium. RNAcentral's name for it is "partial 16S ribosomal RNA". It matches the Rfam family "Bacterial small subunit ribosomal RNA", at positions 355 to 1375 of the family's 1533-position model. The record is from RNAcentral.